UAAACUCUGUGUGGCAAUCACUGACGCACUGCCGUGAUGCCCAGGGAAAACAGAGCGACCUGGAAGUCCAACUACUUCCUUAAGAUCAUCCAACUAUUGGACGAUUACCUGAAAUGCUUCAUUGUGGAGCAGGCAAUGUGGGCUCCAAGCAGAUGCAGCAGAGCAACAUGUCCCUCUGUGGGAAGGCCGUGGUGCUGAUGGGCAAGAACACCAUGAUGCACAAGGCCAUCUGAGGGCACCUGGAAAACAACCCAGCUCUGGAGAAACUGCUGCCUCACAUCUGGGGGAAUGUGGGCUUUGUGUUCACCAAGGAGGACCUUACUGAGAUCAAGGACAUGCUGCUGGCCAAUAAGGUCCCAGCUACCGCCCGUGCUGGUGCCAUUGCCCCAUGUGAAGUCACUGUGCCAGCCCAGAACACUGGUAUGGGACCCGAGAAGACCUCCUUUUUCCAGGCUUUAAGUAUCACCACUAAAAUCUUCAGGGGCACCGUUGAAAUCCUGAGUGAUGUGCAGCUGAUCAAGACUGGAGACAAAGUGGGAGCCAGCGAAGCCACGCUGCUGAACAUGCUCAACAUCUCUCCUUUCUCCUUUGGGCUGGUCAUCCAGCAGGUGUUCGACAAUAGCAGCGUCUACCACCCUGAAGUGCUUGACAUCACAGAGGAC
This is a non-coding RNA of Saimiri boliviensis boliviensis (Bolivian squirrel monkey), 662 nucleotides long. NCBI's taxonomy places the organism in Eukaryota, Metazoa, Chordata, Mammalia, Primates, Cebidae. The record is from RefSeq and is a predicted model, not a curated record.